This 581-nucleotide ribosomal RNA is filed under the name Colletotrichum truncatum. Its description in RNAcentral is "eukaryotic LSU rRNA". The stretch from base 218 to 371 matches the Rfam family "5.8S ribosomal RNA". Lineage: Eukaryota; Fungi; Ascomycota; Sordariomycetes; Glomerellales; Glomerellaceae. The record is from RNAcentral.
AACAAGGUCUCCGUUGGUGAACCAGCGGAGGGAUCAUUACUGAGUUACCGCUCAUCAACCCUUUGUGAACAUACCUUAACUGUUGCUUCGGCGGGUAGGCGUCCCCUAAAAAGGACGUCUCCCGGCCCUCUCCCGUCCGCGGGUGGGGCGCCCGCCGGAGGAUAACCAAACUCUGAUUUAACGACGUUUCUUCUGAGUGACACAAGCAAAUAAUCAAAACUUUUAACAACGGAUCUCUUGGUUCUGGCAUCGAUGAAGAACGCAGCGAAAUGCGAUAAGUAAUGUGAAUUGCAGAAUUCAGUGAAUCAUCGAAUCUUUGAACGCACAUUGCGCCCGCCAGCAUUCUGGCGGGCAUGCCUGUUCGAGCGUCAUUUCAACCCUCAAGCUCUGCUUGGUGUUGGGGCUCUACGGUUGACGUAGGCCCUUAAAGGUAGUGGCGGACCCUCUCGGAGCCUCCUUUGCGUAGUAACAUUUCGUCUCGCAUUGGGAUUCGGAGGGACUCUAGCCGUAAAACCCCCAAUUUUACUAAGGUUGACCUCGGAUCAGGUAGGAAUACCCGCUGAACUUAAGCAUAUCAAUAA